UUGGAUUUGCAUACUAGUAUUGCGAUUGAUCGAGGAAUCAACUAUCUGGUAGUUGUAAUAAGUAUUGACUACGUCUUCAGCUACUGUAUUGAGCCUUUGAGGUACUCACUUCCCGUGGUAAUUCCUUAUCAGGAGCCUUAUAAUCAAUUUGCACAAGGCAUGGGCACCCGACAGUCUCCGUCGAUCUCCUUUCCAGCAUGGACUUCGCUCCGCAGUCUCCGGCCUGACGAAGAUUCAGAAGAAGCACUAAGCACCCGAGAAUGGUUUCGCGGAUCAUCGUGUCACUGAGGCAAGUAUCAUGCAACCCACGCAUGUCGUGUACAGGUUUGACUUUUACUUCGCCACCAGUUGUCACCCCAGCCCCAUUAGCCAAGUCAGUCAAUUUCACCGGUUACAUCACCUUGCUGUGAGUGAGACCGCUUGAAAUGUGCUUGGAUCCCACAUGGAUCCAGUUUUUGAAUUUUGAAAUUGUUGCUAUGCUGUGACGUAGCACUUUGAAGCCCGAUAAAGGAGGGAGGGAGCGUCUCAGCUUCCUCGGACCAAGACCAUUCCACUCAGCACCCCGAAAACUACAACUGGUGAAAAUCUUACA
Long non-coding RNA from Sycon ciliatum, 592 nucleotides. RefSeq lists it as uncharacterized. The record is from RefSeq and is a predicted model, not a curated record. The transcript is spliced from 3 exons. NCBI's taxonomy places the organism in Eukaryota, Metazoa, Porifera, Calcarea, Leucosolenida, Sycettidae.